Molecule: non-coding RNA, 1206 nt
Organism: Nerophis lumbriciformis (worm pipefish)
Lineage: Eukaryota; Metazoa; Chordata; Actinopteri; Syngnathiformes; Syngnathidae
Source: RefSeq, a predicted model, not a curated record
CAGACACAAUUAAACUGCUAGGCUGCCCGCAAACUGUGACGCUUUUUCGCCCUUAAAAUGGAGGAUUUGAUUUCUAAAAUAAGGAUUUUUUUUCAAGACUGGACUUUCAAUCAAAGCAAGAAGUCAUUAAAACUGGGAGCCCAACGCCAAAGCUGCCAUAUUUGAUUCAAAGGCGUGUGGUCCGAGGACAGAAAAUAACGUGUUCACUUCAAAAGGAUUGGUAUACUGGAAAAGAAAGGCUUUGCGGCUGUGCUACAAAAAAAAAAAAAAAACUCUUUAAUGCUUUCCCUGACUUUUAUUCUUAACGAGUGACCCGAGUAUAUCCAAUUUGGGUCCAAACGGGAUAUACGGAGGUGGCGACUUGAGAUAGGCUCCAACACCCUCAGCAACCCCGAAAGGGACAAGCGGUAGAAAAUGGAUGAGAUGGGAUGGAUCUGAAAAACCUGCCAGGAAGCCUUCGAAAAACAUGAACGCUCAUCUGCCCACAUUCAAGGUCACGUAUGGCUCUAAAUGAGACUCAAUAUCAGCAUCCACAAUGCCAAUGUGAAGGAACAUGGUGAGAUAUUAAAAGAGCUGAUAAACACCACUUGCUUUUGGGGUAAACAGGAGCUUGCAUUUGGUGGCAAUUAUCUCAAUUGAGAAAGAGAGACUUUUACAACUCAAAAGAAAAAAAAUAGAAAAAGGAGGACUCCUACAACAAAGUCGUGGAGAUCGUCGUCCAGAAGGAAAGGCGAAUGGACUUCAUUUACAAGUAAAGGCAGAGGAAGAUAGCGGGCUGACUGUAAUCAACCAAGAGGAUGGACAGCGUUUCCAUGGAGAGGAGGAGCAGGAGGAAGAAAAAGAAGCAGGGAGCAUCAACUCCCUCCGAUAAAUGAGGAUGAAAACAACCCUGAUGUUUAACUGGCCAGAGACUCCAAGGCAGUAAACAUGGUGUCAGGUGUUUCAGACUCUUCCAGCUGAGAUUUGCCAUAAAUCAAAGGUGGGACGAAGUCUUUAUGAUUGGUGAGGUACAAAUGAAAUGAAAAUUAAGGCUUUGGUUUGAUCUGCAGUGUUUGCCAUCAUUCUACAAAUCCAUUUACCCGUUUGCCCUCGCUCAUAGCGGCGUAGUGGUUAGCAAGUGUGACGAAUGCAUACCGUAUUUUACGGACGAAAAGUCGCAGUUUUUUUCAUAGUCAGGAGCGACUUAUGUGCAGAGGUGGGUAGUAA